UUCCUUCUCUUCUUCUCUCUAUAUGUUGGUGUUCUAAACAAUAAUCACCAAUACGAUAUUCUGUCCGAUAGAUUCAGGAACCAACUAACGAAUGCCAAAGUGCUGUCUAAAUAAGACUAUACUUUGUGAAUUUCGUUAAGGUUCUGAUAUCGUGACCAUCAUUAGGUUUGAUAUGGUUUUACACUAAAACGUAUUCCACUCUGUUAAACUAAAUGUUUAACUAUCAGAAAUACUCAGAUCCAUAAACUUACUAUCAAACAAGAUGUUUAAUUAUCAGAAGAUUCAAAACUAUAAAUUAGUUGCUUAGUUAUCAGAAGGCUUAGAAUCAAGAGGCUUGUUUAAUCAAGACGAUAUGCUAACAAGGUGAUUACAGUAGAUUGGAAUAAGAGUUGUGAUACGACACCAAAAAGGCUUACAGAAGUGGCUUAUUUUAUCAAUUAAAUUAAAUUAAGAAAAGUUGUUUUAUGUAUUCGGGUUUAUCCCUAAAGCUACCUUUGCAAAACAUGGGUUUAUCCCAUCUUGUUAAUAAAUAAAAUCCGGUGUU
RNAcentral lists this long non-coding RNA (544 nucleotides) under Helianthus annuus (common sunflower). RNAcentral's name for it is "hypothetical non coding rna". Lineage: Eukaryota; Viridiplantae; Streptophyta; Magnoliopsida; Asterales; Asteraceae. The record is from RNAcentral.